RNAcentral lists this ribosomal RNA (700 nucleotides) under Bacillus subtilis. RNAcentral describes it as "bacterial SSU rRNA". It matches the Rfam family "Bacterial small subunit ribosomal RNA", at positions 68 to 750 of the family's 1533-position model. The record is from RNAcentral. Lineage: Bacteria; Bacillati; Bacillota; Bacilli; Caryophanales; Bacillaceae.
GGACAGAUGGGAGCUUGCUCCCUGAUGUUAGCGGCGGACGGGUGAGUAACACGUGGGUAACCUGCCUGUAAGACUGGGAUAACUCCGGGAAACCGGGGCUAAUACCGGAUGGUUGUUUGAACCGCAUGGUUCAAACAUAAAAGGUGGCUUCGGCUACCACUUACAGAUGGACCCGCGGCGCAUUAGCUAGUUGGUGAGGUAACGGCUCACCAAGGCGACGAUGCGUAGCCGACCUGAGAGGGUGAUCGGCCACACUGGGACUGAGACACGGCCCAGACUCCUACGGGAGGCAGCAGUAGGGAAUCUUCCGCAAUGGACGAAAGUCUGACGGAGCAACGCCGCGUGAGUGAUGAAGGUUUUCGGAUCGUAAAGCUCUGUUGUUAGGGAAGAACAAGUACCGUUCGAAUAGGGCGGUGCCUUGACGGUACCUAACCAGAAAGCCACGGCUAACUACGUGCCAGCAGCCGCGGUAAUACGUAGGUGGCAAGCGUUGUCCGGAAUUAUUGGGCGUAAAGGGCUCGCAGGCGGUUUCUUAAGUCUGAUGUGAAAGCCCCCGGCUCAACCGGGGAGGGUCAUUGGAAACUGGGGAACUUGAGUGCAGAAGAGGAGAGUGGAAUUCCACGUGUAGCGGUGAAAUGCGUAGAGAUGUGGAGGAACACCAGUGGCGAAGGCGACUCUCUGGUCUGUAACUGACGCUGAG